Molecule: long non-coding RNA, 306 nt
Filed under: Lactuca sativa (garden lettuce)
Lineage: Eukaryota; Viridiplantae; Streptophyta; Magnoliopsida; Asterales; Asteraceae
Description: long non-coding RNA (LSAT_LNC000492)
Source: RNAcentral
GCAUACAAAACAGUUAAGCCUUGGUAGAAGGCUACUUUAAUAGAAAAUAUAGGUUUUUCUGAGAGAUUCAAACUUUUACAAACACUUACAAACAUUUACUUACAUUUUACAAACUUACACUUGAGACAUGUUCAAACGUUUUGAUAACAAACACCGACACUAAAAUACUUNGAUUUACUUACAUUUUACAAACUUACACUUGAGACAUGUUCAAACCUUUUUCGAUAACAAACACCGACACUAAAAUACUUAUGAACUCAACAGCUUAAUGCUGAUAAACUCUUUCAAAAUAACUUGUAUUCUCAG